This 497-nucleotide ribosomal RNA is filed under the name uncultured bacterium. RNAcentral's name for it is "partial 16S ribosomal RNA". It matches the Rfam family "Bacterial small subunit ribosomal RNA", at positions 28 to 507 of the family's 1533-position model. The record is from RNAcentral.
GAUGAACGCUGGCGGCGUGCCUAAUACAUGCAAGUCGAGCGAACAGACGAGGAGCUUGCUCCUCUGACGUUAGCGGCGGACGGGUGAGUAACACGUGGAUAACCUACCUAUAAGACUGGGAUAACUUCGGGAAACCGGAGCUAAUACCGGAUAAUAUAUUGAACCGCAUGGUUCAAUAGUGAAAGACGGUUUUGCUGUCACUUAUAGAUGGAUCCGCGCCGCAUUAGCUAGUUGGUAAGGUAACGGCUUACCAAGGCAACGAUGCGUAGCCGACCUGAGAGGGUGAUCGGCCACACUGGAACUUAGAAACGGUCCAGACUCCUACGGGAGGCCGCAGUAGGGAAUCUUCCGCAAUGGGCGAAAGCCUGAAGGAGCAACGGCGCGGGAGUGAUGAAGGUCUUUGGAUCGUAAAACUCUGUUAUUGGGGAAGAACAAAUGUGUAAGUAACUAUGCCCGUCUUGACGGUAACUAAUCAGAAAGCCACGGCUAACUACGUG